AGAUGUAAAGGUGAUUUGUUGGCCAUAGUCAACCCAUUUAUUUCCAAGGUUGAUUCUGUGGAUCUGGCUGUUUUUGUGGGGAUCUCCUUCUCCCUCAUUGCUCCAUGUCUCCUUCUCCUUGUAUGCUCCACCCUAGGUUACAUACUUGAUAGAAGAAAAUUACUUUCUAGAUGCAGGAAGAUCAUUUUUCAUCAGGGGUUGUCUGAGUAGCCAUCUAGGAUUGCCAAAAAGAUCUUAAGAAGAAAUAUUACAGUGUGAGGAAAAU
Unclassified non-coding RNA from Dipodomys ordii (Ord's kangaroo rat), 265 nucleotides. Its record names the gene 7SK. It matches the Rfam family "7SK RNA". Rfam says of the family: 7SK was discovered as an abundant small nuclear RNA in the mid-70s but a possible function has only recently been suggested. Two independent studies have found that 7SK RNA binds the CDK9/cyclin T complex (known as elongation factor P-TEFb). P-TEFb activates transcription by phosphorylating the C-terminal domain of RNA polymerase II. The record is from Ensembl. Lineage: Eukaryota; Metazoa; Chordata; Mammalia; Rodentia; Heteromyidae.